Molecule: long non-coding RNA, 519 nt
Organism: Melopsittacus undulatus (budgerigar)
Lineage: Eukaryota; Metazoa; Chordata; Aves; Psittaciformes; Psittaculidae
Exons: 3
Source: RefSeq, a predicted model, not a curated record
GGCGGGUUGAGGCUAUGGAGGCCCGGGAGGAGCGGGUGCCUGGAAUUGAGUCAUGGUAUCAGCUCCCUGCAGAAGUGGAUGUCAGCCGGUUAACUGCUGCCUCAGAGACCAAGCUUGGCCUGACUGGUGAUAGAAACGACUUGACAGAGUUCCCUACCCUGGAGGAAGGAGUGUUGCCUUCAGCAGAAGUAUCUAGAAGGCAGUCUCCUGGAGAUACAGCACAUGGCUUACAAAUGGCUUGACUCUGGCAUUCAGACUUGUCAGCAGGCUGGAAGAUGAAGUAGCAUGCCCAGCUUUGCUUGUGCAGGGAAUUCAACUGUGAGGAAGCUUCUGACCUUCAGAGCGACAGCGGGAAGAGUCACUGUUUUGACACGAGAUGCUCGAGAAGUGCUGUACUGACGUCACUCGUUGCUUUAAGCAUCCAGCACCUGCUUCUCUGCCUGCAAAACCUGGGUUAUGUCUGAGCAAAAUGAGCCCCUAAAUCAUAGAAAGCAUCCAGAAUGUGAUAGCCCUGAUCUU